UUAAGCGACUAAGCGUACACGGUGGAUGCCCUGGCAGUCAGAGGCGAUGAAGGACGUGCUAAUCUGCGAAAAGCGUCGGUAAGGUGAUAUGAACCGUUAUAACCGGCGAUGUCCGAAUGGGGAAACCCAGUGUGAUUCGUCACACUAUCGUUAACUGAAUACAUAGGUUAACGAGGCGAACCGGGGGAACUGAAACAUCUAAGUACCCCGAGGAAAAGAAAUCAACCGAGAUUCCCCCAGUAGCGGCGAGCGAACGGGGAGCAGCCCAGAGUCUGAAUCAGCUUGUGUGUUAGUGGAACGGUCUGGAAAGUCCGACGGUACAGGGUGAUAGUCCCGUACACCAAAAUGCACAGGCUGUGAACUCGAAGAGUAGGGCGGGACACGUGGUAUCCUGUCUGAAUAUGGGGGGACCAUCCUCCAAGGCUAAAUACUCCUGACUGACCGAUAGUGAACCAGUACCGUGAGGGAAAGGCGAAAAGAACCCCGGCGAGGGGAGUGAAAAAGAACCUGAAACCGUGUACGUACAAGCAGUGGGAGCACCUUCGGGUGUGACUGCGUACCUUUUGUAUAAUGGGUCAGCGACUUAUAUUCUGUAGCAAGGUUAACCGUAUAGGGGAGCCGCAGGGAAACCGAGUCUUAACUGGGCGUUAAGUUGCAGGGUAUAGACCCGAAACCCGGUGAUCUAGCCAUGGGCAGGUUGAAGGUUGGGUAACACUAACUGGAGGACCGAACCGACUAAUGUUGAAAAAUUAGCGGAUGACUUGUGGCUGGGGGUGAAAGGCCAAUCAAACCGGGAGAUAGCUGGUUCUCCCCGAAAGCUAUUUAGGUAGCGCCUCGUGAAUUCAUCUUCGGGGGUAGAGCACUGUUUCGGCUAGGGGGUCAUCCCGACUUACCAACCCGAUGCAAACUACGAAUACCGAAGAAUGUUAUCACGGGAGACACACGGCGGGUGCUAACGUCCGUCGUGAAGAGGGAAACAACCCAGACCGCCAGCUAAGGUCCCAAAGUCAUGGUUAAGUGGGAAACGAUGUGGGAAGGCACAGACAGCCAGGAUGUUGGCUUAGAAGCAGCCAUCAUUUAAAGAAAGCGUAAUAGCUCACUGGUCGAGUCGGCCUGCGCGGAAGAUGUAACGGGGCUAAACCAUGCACCGAAGCUGCGGCAGCGACACUAUGUGUUGUUGGGUAGGGGAGCGUUCUGUAAGCCUGCGAAGGUGACCUGUGAGGGUUGCUGGAGGUAUCAGAAGUGCGAAUGCUGACAUAAGUAACGAUAAAGCGGGUGAAAAGCCCGCUCGCCGGAAGACCAAGGGUUCCUGUCCAACGUUAAUCGGGGCAGGGUGAGUCGACCCCUAAGGCGAGGCCGAAAGGCGUAGUCGAUGGGAAACAGGUUAAUAUUCCUGUACUUGGUGUUACUGCGAAGGGGGGACGGAGAAGGCUAUGUUAGCCGGGCGACGGUUGUCCCGGUUUAAGCAUGUAGGCUGGUUAUCCAGGCAAAUCCGGAUAAUCAAGGCUGAGGUGUGAUGACGAGGCACUACGGUGCUGAAGUAACAAAUGCCCUGCUUCCAGGAAAAGCCUCUAAGCAUCAGGUAACAUCAAAUCGUACCCCAAACCGACACAGGUGGUCAGGUAGAGAAUACCAAGGCGCUUGAGAGAACUCGGGUGAAGGAACUAGGCAAAAUGGUGCCGUAACUUCGGGAGAAGGCACGCUGGUGUGUAGGUGAAGCCCCUGCGGGUGGAGCUGAGACCAGUCGAAGAUACCAGCUGGCUGCAACUGUUUAUUAAAAACACAGCACUGUGCAAACACGAAAGUGGACGUAUACGGUGUGACGCCUGCCCGGUGCCGGAAGGUUAAUUGAUGGGGUUAUCCGUAAGGAGAAGCUCUUGAUCGAAGCCCCGGUAAACGGCGGCCGUAACUAUAACGGUCCUAAGGUAGCGAAAUUCCUUGUCGGGUAAGUUCCGACCUGCACGAAUGGCGUAAUGAUGGCCAGGCUGUCUCCACCCGAGACUCAGUGAAAUUGAACUCGCUGUGAAGAUGCAGUGUACCCGCGGCAAGACGGAAAGACCCCGUGAACCUUUACUAUAGCUUGACACUGAACAUUGAGCCUUGAUGUGUAGGAUAGGUGGGAGGCUUUGAAGCGUGGACGCCAGUCUGCGUGGAGCCAACCUUGAAAUACCACCCUUUAAUGUUUGAUGUUCUAACGUUGGCCCCUGACCGGGGUUGCGGACAGUGUCUGGUGGGUAGUUUGACUGGGGCGGUCUCCUCCCAAAGCGUAACGGAGGAGCACGAAGGUUAGCUAAUCCUGGUCGGACAUCAGGAGGUUAGUGCAAUGGCAUAAGCUAGCUUGACUGCGAGCGUGACGGCGCGAGCAGGUGCGAAAGCAGGUCAUAGUGAUCCGGUGGUUCUGAAUGGAAGGGCCAUCGCUCAACGGAUAAAAGGUACUCCGGGGAUAACAGGCUGAUACCGCCCAAGAGUUCAUAUCGACGGCGGUGUUUGGCACCUCGAUGUCGGCUCAUCACAUCCUGGGGCUGAAGUAGGUCCCAAGGGUAUGGCUGUUCGCCAUUUAAAGUGGUACGCGAGCUGGGUUUAGAACGUCGUGAGACAGUUCGGUCCCUAUCUGCCGUGGGCGCUGGAGAAUUGAGGGGGGCUGCUCCUAGUACGAGAGGACCGGAGUGGACGCAUCACUGGUGUUCGGGUUGUCAUGCCAAUGGCACUGCCCGGUAGCUAAAUGCGGAAGAGAUAAGUGCUGAAAGCAUCUAAGCACGAAACUUGCCCCGAGAUGAGUUCUCCCUGAGACUUUAAGUCUCCUGAAGGAACGUUGAAGACGAUGACGUUGAUAGGCCGGGUGUGUAAGCGCAGCGAUGCGUUGAGCUAACCGGUACUAAUGAACCGUGAGGCUUAACCUU
RNAcentral lists this ribosomal RNA (2900 nucleotides) under Klebsiella pneumoniae. RNAcentral describes it as "bacterial LSU rRNA". It matches the Rfam family "Bacterial large subunit ribosomal RNA". Lineage: Bacteria; Pseudomonadati; Pseudomonadota; Gammaproteobacteria; Enterobacterales; Enterobacteriaceae. The record is from RNAcentral.